Molecule: long non-coding RNA, 1711 nt
Organism: Neopelma chrysocephalum (saffron-crested tyrant-manakin)
Lineage: Eukaryota; Metazoa; Chordata; Aves; Passeriformes; Pipridae
Exons: 2
Source: RefSeq, a predicted model, not a curated record
UGUAAUCAGGAAUGCUUUUGCUUGCUUUGAUGAAGAAGCAACAGGGUUCAUCCAGGAAGACUACCUGCGGGAGCUGCUGACGACAAUGGGAGACAGGUUCACGGAUGAAGAGGUGGACGAGCUGUACAGAGAGGCACCCAUCGACAAAAAGGGGAAUUUCAACUACAUCGAGUUCACACGCAUCCUGAAACAUGGAGCAAAAGACAAGGAUGACUGAGCAAAUCCAUGGAUACCUGCAGAUUAUCUCUACACUCAUGUUUAUUUUUAAGGGUUUAUUCCUGAUAGAACUUGUUGCAUGCAUUUAGCUUUACAGCUUUUGCCUUUCUCAAUGUAUUUAUCUAUUCCAGGCCAUUUAGGCAUAUUUGCACCUGUGUAAUCAGACUGGAAGCGGGGAAAAUAUUGUGAGGAAAAGGAAAUGGGGACGAACAUCCCUGGAGUUGAUACUCCAGGAAAAUAAUCUCAAUAUUUCUGGUUUAGCUGGAUUUUUACAUUUUUGUAAUAAAUGCCAUUUUGAAAUAAAGAUUGCUAUAUAGAUAAAAUACCUCAAAAUCUUUUGUGAAGAAUGACAUUUCUAUUGUGCAUUUACAAAUGCAGGUGUGUUCAUUGUAUUUUACUUGCAGUUGCAAGUCAAGUUGAAAAACUCGUUUUCAUACUGUUUUGUUCAGUGUCACAGGGUUCUGAAAUGCUCCUAGCAGGAUGUGCUGGCAUCUUUAAAAAUGCAGCUGUAGCUGUAGAAGUCUUUCAGGUUUCUGAAGUGGGAUCUGACUAGUGUAAGUAGUUAACCAAAGAAGUGGUAAGGGAAGACUGUUACAGUUGCCUCAUGGCCAGCAGAGAACAUCUAUGAUUCUUAAGCAGAUAUCAUGCCCAGCUGUUGUUUUCUUUUAAUACUGAUGGAAUAGCAAUAUUUUCAUGUCAAAGUGUACAUUCCUCUUUGCUAAAUCUUUAUGCUGGCAAUAAGUGGGAAUUAGGCAUAUUUUUCCUUCAGCUGAAGGAAGCUUGUGUGAAGGAAUCCAUGCUGGCACUAAUUAACAGCAAUACAUGGCCACAAAACCUAUAUAAAGCUUUAUUGUUCUGCAGCUAAUGUAUUUGCAUGUGAGAAUGUGAGCAGAGGAUUACUUGGUAAAACCCUAUAUGUGCUAAGUUCCUCUCACUUUUUAAAAGAUCGUACAUAUUCCUCAGCUAUAUUGAUAAGAUGACUUUUAACCAAGCACAGUCAUUCAUUCAAAACCGGUUGUGCUGAUGCUGUUGUCUCAAAUACGAAGAAAGGGGGAAGGUUUUUCUGUUAGUUCUUCAUAUGACCAUGUCCUAUGUGCGUCACUCUCUUGGCUACUGCAAGCUGGAAAGCCUAAGAAGAAUUUAUUUUGCCUGUUUAUCAUUUAAAAUGAUGACUAGAAAGCAUGUCCUGAGCUAUAUCACAUGACUUAAGACCACAAGGAAUAGGAGUUUUACUUCAGCACAAGAGUGUGUGAAGGCUCUGACAGCUUAUACUGUAAGGUGGGUUUGUCUCUCAUGUGUUAGCACAAAGGCUUGGUUACUUAAUCUUGCUUGUGUUCCCAGUAUGGCAGCUCUGGAAGAUACUCUGGCAUUAGGUUUGUAAAUAAGUUGACAGAGUAUACACAGUUAGCAUAUACUUUGAUUAUUUUUUUAUUUUUUUAUUCCUUGGUGGUUUCUUUCACUUCUGGGCUUAAUUAAAAGGAGUUUUCAACCAUUA